CUCUGUCCAGCUGCGACCCAAUGGGAGUCCCCGCCAGGAGACACAACCGGCGGCUCUCCGGGGAUUUAUAAGGUCCCGCCAGCAACCGCGCGUUGGGAUUCGUGGUGUUGCUGGAGACCCGUAUGGUGUCUGCAGUCAGCGACCCUCCAACUUCAACUACUGGAUCAACCAUGUGUGAGUGCAUCUCCAUCCAUGUGGGCCAGGCCGGAGUGCAGAUGGGCAAUGCCUGCUGGGAGCUGUACUGCCUGGAGCACGACAUCCAGCCCAGUGGCACCAUGCCCAGCCACAAGGCCCUGGGGAGCAGUGAUAACUCCUUCAACACCUUCUUCAGGGAGACCCAGCCUGGCAGGCAUGUGUCCUGGGCUGUCUGUGGACCUGGAGCCUGCUGUCAUAGCACAAUGAAGUCGCUGUAGAGGGAAGGGACCACUGAAGGUGCCACCUGCUCUCCCCGUCUCAAGCCCAGGCAGGACCUGGCCUUAGAAGUGGGUCUCUGGUCGGGAGGCUGAGGCAGGAGAAUCGCUUGAACCCGGGAGACAGAGGCUGUGGUGAGCCAAGAUCGCGUGAUUGCACUCCAGCCUGGGCAACAAGAGUGAAACUCUGUCUCAAAAAAAAAAAAAGAAAGAAAAGAAAAAGAAGAUGCCGUGCAUCAUCACUCUGUUGAGCAGUUGUACCUGGGGAGGCUUAGCAGCAAAGGUUCUGGUGUCUGGCGUUCCCUUGGGGAAUGAACCAGCUUGUCUUACCUUUGUCCUUUCUUCCCCUCAAGAUGGGGUAAGAACUGACAUUUAUAGGCAGCUGUUCCACCCUGAACAGCUGAUAUCUGGCGUGGAAGAUGCUGCCAACAACUGUGCCCGUGGCCACUACACUGCGGGGAAGGAGAUCAUCGAUUUGGUGCUGGAGUGAAUCUGAAAACUGGUGAGCAGGCCUCUGGCACCUACAGGAGGUCGUUGCAUCCUUAACCCUCUUCCUGGCUGGGAGGCAACCACAGCCUGUGCUGGUACCUGACAUCAUUCCUCCAGCCUGUCAGUCCACUCAGCUUCUCUUAAGGGGAUAUGUGUUUUCUGUCCUGGGUACGGAUCUAGGGUUGGAAGCCUGAAUAAACUGCUCUGCCUUGA
This 1112-nucleotide long non-coding RNA is filed under the name Homo sapiens (human). Lineage: Eukaryota; Metazoa; Chordata; Mammalia; Primates; Hominidae. The record is from RNAcentral.